UCCUGGCUCAGGAUGAACGCUGGCGGCGUGCCUAAUACAUGCAAGUCGAACGCUUCACUUCGGUGAAGAGUGGCGAACGGGUGAGUAAUACAUAAGUAACCUGGCAUCUACAGGGGGAUAACUGAUGGAAACGUCAGCUAAGACCGCAUAGGUGUAGAGAUCGCAUGAACUCUAUAUGAAAAGUGCUACGGGACUGGUAGAUGAUGGACUUAUGGCGCAUUAGCUGGUUGGUAGGGUAACGGCCUACCAAGGCGACGAUGCGUAGCCGACCUGAGAGGGUGACCGGCCACACUGGGACUGAGACACGGCCCAGACUCCUACGGGAGGCAGCAGUAGGGAAUUUUCGGCAAUGGGGGAAACCCUGACCGAGCAACGCCGCGUGAAGGAAGAAGUAAUUCGUUAUGUAAACUUCUGUCAUAGAGGAAGAACGGUGGAUAUAGGGAAUGAUAUCCAAGUGACGGUACUCUAUAAGAAAGCCACGGCUAACUACGUGCCAGCAGCCGCGGUAAUACGUAGGUGGCGAGCGUUAUCCGGAAUUAUUGGGCGUAAAGAGGGAGCAGGCGGCACUAAGGGUCUGUGGUGAAAGAUCGAAGCUUAACUUCGGUAAGCCAUGGAAACCGUAGAGCUAGAGUGUGUGAGAGGAUCGUGGAAUUCCAUGUGUAGCGGUGAAAUGCGUAGAUAUAUGGAGGAACACCAGUGGCGAAGGCGACGAUCUGGCGCAUAACUGACGCUCAGUCCCGAAAGCGUGGGGAGCAAAUAGGAUUAGAUACCCUAGUAGUCCACGCCGUAAACGAUGAGUACUAAGUGUUGGGAGUCAAAUCUCAGUGCUGCAGUUAACGCAAUAAGUACUCCGCCUGAGUAGUACGUUCGCAAGAAUGAAACUCAAAGGAAUUGACGGGGG
RNAcentral lists this ribosomal RNA (901 nucleotides) under human gut metagenome. RNAcentral's name for it is "bacterial SSU rRNA". It matches the Rfam family "Bacterial small subunit ribosomal RNA", at positions 17 to 919 of the family's 1533-position model. The record is from RNAcentral.